Molecule: transfer RNA, 82 nt
Filed under: Tolypothrix sp. Co-bin9
Lineage: Bacteria; Bacillati; Cyanobacteriota; Cyanophyceae; Nostocales; Tolypothrichaceae
Description: tRNA-Leu
Rfam family: tRNA
About the family: Transfer RNA (tRNA) molecules are approximately 80 nucleotides in length. Their secondary structure includes four short double-helical elements and three loops (D, anti-codon, and T loops).
Source: RNAcentral
GCGGAUGUGGCGGAAUUGGUAUACGCGCACGCUUGAGGUGCGUGUGGCGAAAGCCUUGCGAGUUCGAGUCUCACCAUCCGCA